This is a long non-coding RNA of Mus pahari (shrew mouse), 520 nucleotides long. RefSeq lists it as uncharacterized. The transcript has 4 exons. Lineage: Eukaryota; Metazoa; Chordata; Mammalia; Rodentia; Muridae. The record is from RefSeq and is a predicted model, not a curated record.
CCCCAGGCACCCAUGCAAGGAAAGUCACUUGAUUAUGAAAGUGUUUCAGAAGAAAAGCAGACGCCGGUGGAGAGAGAGGCAGUGUCUCGAAGGAGGGAACAAGCCUCUCUUAAGACAUGUUUUGCAGCUCCAUGAAACUGAAAUCUGGUUGAACAGUAUUUAGACUUCUUUUAACCAUCUCCUAUCACAGCCCACCUUCAAGAAUCUCAAAGCUUGCUUUUUAUCUGAACUGCUUUCACAAACAUCCACAAGUCAAGAUCAGUUUUACUUCUGAUGUAGCAGUUCUGGAAAAGAAUUAAGAGAGACAAAGGAAAACAAUCUGUUGAAAUAGAAAAGUGUGUGAAUAUAUGGCCCUUAUUGGAACUGAGUAUAUAGACAAGAUUGCUCUUGAACACAGAAAUAUCUGCCUGAUUUUUAUUCCUGAAAGCUGAGAUUAAAGUGACAGGCAUUGAAAGAUACUACUUAGAAAAUGUUGACUCAUCUAGAACGAAGCACUGCUAUGAGGUGACUGUCUGUGAAC